This 413-nucleotide unclassified non-coding RNA is filed under the name Hevea brasiliensis (rubber tree). Lineage: Eukaryota; Viridiplantae; Streptophyta; Magnoliopsida; Malpighiales; Euphorbiaceae. The record is from RNAcentral.
AGAUGCAAGCGCAGUUUGGCUGAGAUUGCUGUAAAAGCAGUUCUUGCUGUCGCAGAUUUAGAGAGGAAGGAUGUUAAUUUGGAUUUGAUAAAAGUUGAAGGGAAAGUAGGAGGCAAAUUGGAAGAUACUGAAUUAAUAUAUGGAAUAGUAGUUGACAAGGAUAUGAGUCAUCCACAGAUGCCGAAACAAAUUAAAGAUGCAAAAAUUGCUAUCUUGACUUGCCCCUUUGAACCACCUAAGCCAAAGACUAAACAUAAGGUGGAUAUUGAUACAGUGGAAAAGUUUCAGACUCUACGUAAGCAAGAACAGCAGUAUUUUGAUGACAUGGUUCAGAAAUGCAAGGAUGUUGGUGCUACCUUGGUUAUCUGUCAAUGGGGGUUUGACGAUGAGGCAAAUCAUUUAUUAAUGCACAG